AUGGACGACGGGGUGGACCUCCCGAGCCAAUUCCUCUUCCCGCACCCGGAGAUGCCCGGCGCCUUCAGCGACCUCCUGGGCGACGCCGCCGCGACCUGCACCCACACGCACACCUGCAACCCUCCGGGCCCGUCAGCCGCCACGCACACGCACACCUGCCUGCACACCCACACCCACCAGCUCUUCGCCGCCGGCAGCGAGGACGACGACGCGGCGCGGCCCCGCCGGCCGCUGGGGAACCGGGAGGCCGUGCGCAAGUACCGGGAGAAGAAGAAGGCGCACGCCGCGUUCCUGGAGGAGGAGGUCAAGCAGCUGCGCGCCGCCAACCAGCAGCUCCAGCGCCGGCUGCAGGGCCACGCCACGCUUGAGGCCGAGGUGGCGCGGCUGAGGGGCCUCCUCUUCGACGUCCGGGCCAAGAUCGACGCGGAGGCCGCCGGCGCGUUCCCGUUCCAGAAGCAGUGCAGCGUCGGCUCCGUGGCGUGCGCCGACCCGACCCUCUGCUUCAACAAUGGCAACUCUGAGGUCGGUGGCGCCUGCUGGGAGGACAGCUCCGGGCCGGCGGCUGCGGAUUACAGGUUCGAUGAAGACGGCAAUGGCAAUGGCGGCGCGUCGCGGGAGAUCGAUGCUCCGGAACAACCGGUGCGUUCCAUGGAUGUCGUUGAGCUCUGCUGCUUCCCUAGCUGA
RNAcentral lists this ribosomal RNA (684 nucleotides) under Triticum aestivum (bread wheat). RNAcentral's name for it is "partial small subunit ribosomal RNA". The record is from RNAcentral. Lineage: Eukaryota; Viridiplantae; Streptophyta; Magnoliopsida; Poales; Poaceae.